Non-coding RNA from Pelobates cultripes (western spadefoot toad), 229 nucleotides. NCBI's taxonomy places the organism in Eukaryota, Metazoa, Chordata, Amphibia, Anura, Pelobatidae. The record is from the annotation of a GenBank genome assembly.
UGAUUAUACUCACCAGAACAACUACAUUAAGCUGUAAAUUGUAAAUGUUAGCAGUCUUUGAAAUAUAAUGCUAUACAUGCCCUUCUUUGUUCUUUGUUAAUUUGUUAAAUGUGUCUUUAUACGAUAUUACUCCUACAAUGCUUAUGUUAGCUAUACAGUGAAUUGUGGUUACUUUCUGAUGGAAUUGUGUAAUGUAGGCCAUUAUAGCGGAGAAGGAAAGAUUGUUGAG